UCGCGGCUUAUCACCGGCAGUCCCCUUAGAGUGCCCAACUAAAUGCUGGCAACAUGCGACGGGGGUUGCGCUCGUUGCGGGACUUAACCCAACAUCUCACGACACGAGCUGACGACAGCCAUGCACCACCUGUGAAGAUGCCCCGAAGGGAAGGCCUGUUUCCAGGCCGGUCAUCCACAUGUCAAGCCCUGGUAAGGUUCUGCGCGUUGCGUCGAAUUAAACCACAUGCUCCACCGCUUGUGCGGGCCCCCGUCAAUUCCUUUGAGUUUCAACCUUGCGACCGUACUCCCCAGGCGGGAAGCUUAAUGCGUUAGCUGCGCCACCGACAAGUAAACUUGCCAACGGCUAGCUUCCAUCGUUUACGGCGUGGACUAC
Molecule: unclassified non-coding RNA, 375 nt
Filed under: uncultured bacterium
Lineage: Bacteria
Description: contains 16S-23S intergenic spacer region
Source: RNAcentral